AUAUAAGAAGAAGUUCCUAGCCUCGCUAGCAUAUAGCAAUUCUCAAGCUAGAACAAACAGGCAAAGGGAGUAGAAAUAGCUAGCAGCCAGAAUGGAAAAUACAAAGAUCGAAUCAUACUAUUGUUUCAUGAACUAUGAUCCUCAAUACGCUCUCCUUCGAUCUAAUCAAAGAAAGAAAGGGAGGUCAGAUGAGCUGGACAUGUAUCUGAGCCGGAAGCAUGAUGAGGUUUUGGAAAGCACCCUCGAACCAGGAACUUACAGGAAGACAGAGUCUCUUGUUAUUGUAGAUGGCUUUGCUGUGGAAAUUACUGAGGACCAGGCGAGUAAGCUUAGAUCUGCAAAGGGAGUGAGAGUAGUUGAGAAAAACGAAGAGAUUGCUUAACAAGGGAAGGGCCAAGUUAAGUAGCUACAGAGAAGUAGAGAUCGAUCAGUGUGAAUAAAUGUGAAAUGGGUUCGGACGAGUUUAAUUGCUGGUAAUUUGUAUCAACGUACGAAGAUUUGUAUGAGAUGAUCGAGUUUAUUUAUGGGUUAAUUUGCUAUUAUAAU
RNA transcript from Fragaria vesca subsp. vesca, 546 nucleotides. RefSeq lists it as uncharacterized. NCBI's taxonomy places the organism in Eukaryota, Viridiplantae, Streptophyta, Magnoliopsida, Rosales, Rosaceae. The record is from RefSeq and is a predicted model, not a curated record. The transcript is spliced from 3 exons.